UUUUUAAGGAAAGACCCAUUUACCCCAAGGCACUGUUAUGCAAUCUGCACCCCAGUGUGAUGACCACACCAAGCACCCAGGGGUCUGAGCCUGGACUCGUGGGUCACUGCAAGUGUUUGGCAGGUGGGACAAAGACCGUGAAGGCGGCGGCAGGCUUUGGUUCCUGCACGUCUGAGGGUCCCCUGCCAGGCCCUGGGAGGCGCUGCGUCAGGAGCCCCGUGACCUUUGAUGACCCGGGAAGCCGAGGCUGUUUGUGCCUCUCCCACCUCUGGAAACACCUGGGGGUUCUGGCCACAUGCUCUGUUAGUUGAGCAUCUCUGUGGAGGUCUCCAUCCCUGGCUGCGUGCAGUGUUGGGUUUCAGAGCACCAGCAGGUGGGGCAGGGUGCCAUGUGCCCUUGCCGGGUGCCUUCGGUCCAAAUACUGCAGACGCGCAGGGCUCGCCUCUGAGGGGGGCGGGCAUUUGAGUCACAGCCGGCUGCAGGAACAGGCUGCCCCGCACUGAAGGCAGCCAGGCCGGGCUGGGGCAGGUCCCGCAGCCAGGCUGCUCCUGCACGGGAGCUCCUCCUCCUCAGCCCGUCCGCGGCCUCCUGCCUUCACCGCAGCUGCUGCCGGCACUACCAGGCUGGCCCAGCUCUAGGGCAACAGGGGCCUCUUGUGGCAAGGGGCGGGACAAGUAAAGAGGCUGGCUUUUGUCCUGCGCUUUUCCUUCCCAAGCUUUGCAAUUCUGGGGCACCUGCAAACUAAGGCUAGUGUCACCCAAGGGUCUCUGUGCUUGGUAACUGAUGUGAGCCACGUACCAGGAUUUCCCCGUUUUCUGAGAAACCCAGCCCAGUGCCCACUCAGCCUCCACCUACCAUGCGCCACCUGCCAUACUCCACGGUCAUGCUUCACCCGCGAAGCCUGAUGAGCUAGUCACCACCCACAUGACUGAUGGGUAAACUGAGGCACAAGAGAUUCCUCAUGCACCUAUAGUUGUAUGGUCUGCAGUGAGGUAGCCGAUGCCAGAGCUGUGUCCUCCCUCCAUAGAAGCCAGGAGAAAGGCCAGACUGAAGUGACCUGCUGAAGCCUUUGUCUUUUGACAUUGAAUUCCGUUUGCCCACUGCCAUCAAGACUGCUUUUAAGGAGCUUCUGCGACAUGAUCUCUUACAGGAACCUGAAGGGCCGAGAAGUCCUGCUGUGUUUGGUGCCAUCAUCUCUUACUUUGAACAGUUUUUUGAAACUGUUGGAAUUUCUCUGGCAAAUCAACAGGUAGGUCCUAUUAUUUUAAAUGCUUAAUUCUGGAAUUUUCUCCAUGUUGGGACAAUAACCUUUACCCUUUUAACUUGGAAUAGAGCAUUAUGAUGCCACACUAAUGUAUUUACCUGUUUAAAAACAUGUUACUUUCCUGGAAAAAUAAACACACUCAGAGCCAAUACUUAUUAAUUGGAAUUGCACAAUUCUACUUCUGCAGUUGGCAAACUCUCGUGCGCAGAACCAGAGAUGAGUCCAUCUCAGCAACAGAAUGUCGCCAGCUCUGCACACACGUUUAUGUUCAAAGACUCUCAGAAUGUGCAGAAGUCACAGGCACAGUAAGAGAACAUUUUUUCCUGACCCAUUUGAGGGCAAGUUGGCGACCUGAGCCCCCUUGCCUGGCACAUGUUUUGUACGGACAGGACGGGCUCCCCGACAGGCACGAGUCACCUGCACCUUCCCAGCGAGGCUCACCCUGGCUGUGCAGUGAAGGUGGACGCUGCCAGGCUUCUCCACAUUCCUUCUCUUCCGUUGUAACUCAAGAGCAUUUUUGCAAAGAGACUUGGAUCCUAUGAAAAUGUCCUCUUCCUUAUCAGGCUCACCUGAAACUCGUUUAUUCUAUCAAUACAGAUUUGAGGUUUCCUGCCUUAUUCUUAAAGUCCCCACCAUCACUUUGUAUGUGGCUGACAGAGGCCCCUUGGGGCUGGCGCUGUGUCCCUGAACAUCCCUGUCAUUCUUUGGACACCCUUGUAGAAUUCUCAGCACAAGGCGCUCUGGCUCUUUUGGGGUGUGGCUCGGCUGCUGCUGCCUGGACGGGGGCUGCCACUCUAGACCAGCUGCCCAGCACCCCGAGGGUCCCGCCGCUUGGGACUGGGGCCCAAGCAGGUGUGCUGAAGGCCUGGCUCUGGGCCAAACAUGUCUCGCUGGCUCUCAACAGAGAACUAUAGUGUCUUUUCCAAGUUUGGCUCAUUUGUAUACCUGUUGAUCACCUGGUAGACUUAGUUCCCCUUUCCAGCAGUCCGGCGUCUGUUGCCAAUCACAUAAAAGUCGACUGGUGUGAGAUGACCCAAGUUUUUGCAAUGUACAUGUUCAUUUUUAGGGGUGGCUUUCCGGAGUCUGUUUUGAGUAAGAAAAGUGGGAUCUGGCCAAGCUCUGCCUAGCCCUUGUCAAAGAUAUCUCAUUCACCUUCCUCUGGCCGCAAGGCCCAAUGUCUGGGCCCACUCUGGGCUCAUAUUUCUGUAAUAACAAAAACUGUCUUUUAUCAUGGAAGCAAUAACUGAGGGGUGUGUGAGGUUUAAGUAGUUUGACACCAAGGUCAAAUGUUGUGUCUGUUUCUUAUUUUACACACAUGGAUUUAACAAAUAGGUACAGCUGCCCCUUCCACACCGCCCCAGGAUCUGUUCUCAGUGGGAGGACAGCGCGAGGCCUUCUGCGCAAAUCCCGUCCUCAGCACCUGAGGCUGUGAAUCUCAGACCAUUUGCCGAAACACACGUGUGCAAGCGCUCAGUCGCUGCCCCCCAGCCUCAUCCUCAGGUUGCUCCUGAUACCUCGGCCACAAUUGCGUGAGGUCUGGAAGCCAGGGAGCGUUUGUGUUCAGGGCGGGGCGGCAUGCAGCCCCCAGCCCUUUCUUCCAACUCCCGAGUGAGGAUCACUCAGCCUUGCUUGGACGACAGAUGCUCAGAGUUGAGUGGAGCCUUGCCCAGAGCCCAGCGCUCGCGGGCUGUACCCAUCCCUGCCAGACCCAGAAAGAGGCCCAGCUGCAGGGAAUCAGGGAAGCCCAGGGCUGGGUGGGUGUCGGCCCAGAGCCCAACCACGGGGUGGGGAGGGGGCAUCCACAAUCCACAGUCUCCGGGGGACGUAACCGCGCCCUGCUGGCUUCAGUACGUUUCAGGAGACGGCAGCGAGGCUACCUUGCAUGGUGUGGUGGACGAGCUGGUGCGGUUCCGGCAGAAGGUCCGGCAGUUUGCGCUGGCCAUGCCCGAGGCCACGGGGGACGCCCGGCGGCAGCAGCUCCUAGAAAGGCAGCCCCUGCUGGAAGCAUGCGACACCCUGCGCCGGGGCCUGACUGCCCACGGCAUCAACAUCAAGGACAGAAGCAGUACAACAUCCACGUGGGAACUGCUGGAUCAAAGGACAAAAGACCAAAAAUCAGCGGGCUGAGGAUGGAGCACAGCCAUGAACCUGCUCACGACAAGACGCACCCAUGCUUCUCAGGGUCAAGGCUUUAUGUUAAAGCUUCCUGUCGGGGCUGCUAGGUCAGCAUUAAAGUAAGGCAACCAACAGUG
Molecule: long non-coding RNA, 3516 nt
Filed under: Homo sapiens (human)
Lineage: Eukaryota; Metazoa; Chordata; Mammalia; Primates; Hominidae
Description: non-protein coding lnc-CARS2-2:10
Source: RNAcentral